Long non-coding RNA from Gossypium arboreum, 620 nucleotides. RefSeq lists it as uncharacterized. The transcript is spliced from 2 exons. The record is from RefSeq and is a predicted model, not a curated record. Lineage: Eukaryota; Viridiplantae; Streptophyta; Magnoliopsida; Malvales; Malvaceae.
CUGAGGGGAAACUCAAAAGGAUUGAAGCGCAAGGCAUUCGCUAGCUUUUUUUGUUAAAUGCAAGUUUUUCAAGCAUGAAAGGUAAACGGUAUAAUAACUGCUUCGAAACAAAAAAAGAAGAAGAAGAAGAGAGAGACGUAUAGAUUCUUGCCUGCCUAUUCUUUCUUUCAGUUUCUCCAAGAGGCGAAGAUUAUCGUACUCAAUUUUGGUAAUGAGUUUCUCGAUAAAAACGCUGCGCUCCAAUGCUCCCAGCUUGGUAACAUCGAUCACCUUUCUCUUCCCUUCAAUUUUGAUAUCCUCUUCUUCUUUGGUAGUAUCAUUUGAAAGCUCGAAAUCGAACAAUGAGGUUCUUACGCGCUUAAAAGUGGGCAGUCUCUGAAUCGCAGCCCACUGCAACUCGAUCUCGUCAUCAUUAUUUUCUCUCAACGACGACGACAUCGCGAGGUCCGAGGUAGUGCUUCUGAAGCUUGACGAUAAGUGGCGAAAAGGGAGUUGGAUGAUAAAUAUGAACCGUGUCGUGUUUUUGCAUGCUUCUAUUUGCCUCUUAGUUAUCUAUUUAUUAUCAAGUAAAGGCUAAAGCUGCUUACGUUACUACUUUGAAUGCAAUUUUUAUUUUUAAA